AUCGAACGCUGGCGGCAUGCCUAACACAUGCAAGUCGAACGAGACCUUCGGGUCUAGUGGCGCACGGGUGCGUAACACGUGGGAAUUUGCCUCGGGGUAUGGAAUAACUCAGGGAAACUUGAGCUAAUACCAUAUAAUGUCUUCGGACCAAAGAUUUAUCGCCCUGAGAUAAGCCCGCGUAGGAUUAGCUAGUUGGUGGGGUAAAGGCUCACCAAGGCGACGAUCCUUAGCUGGUCUGAGAGGAUGAUCAGUCACACUGGAACUGAGACACGGUCCAGACUCCUACGGGAGGCAGCAGUGGGGGAAUUUUGGACAAUGGGCGCAAGCCUGAUCCAGCAAUGCCGCGUGCAGGAUGAAGGCCUUCGGUU
Molecule: ribosomal RNA, 368 nt
Filed under: uncultured bacterium
Lineage: Bacteria
Description: bacterial SSU rRNA
Rfam family: Bacterial small subunit ribosomal RNA
Source: RNAcentral